This 258-nucleotide ribosomal RNA is filed under the name Corynebacterium mucifaciens. RNAcentral's name for it is "partial 16S ribosomal RNA". It matches the Rfam family "Bacterial small subunit ribosomal RNA", at positions 54 to 314 of the family's 1533-position model. Lineage: Bacteria; Bacillati; Actinomycetota; Actinomycetes; Mycobacteriales; Corynebacteriaceae. The record is from RNAcentral.
CAUGCAGUCGAACGGAAGGCCCAAGCUUGCUUGGGUACUCGAGUGGCGAACGGGUGAGUAACACGUGGGUGAUCUGCCCUGCACUUCGGGAUAAGCCUGGGAAACUGGGUCUAAUACCGGAUAGGACGAUGGUUUGGAUGCCAUUGUGGAAAGUUUUUUCGGUGUGGGAUGAGCUCGCGGCCUAUCAGCUUGUUGGUGGGGUAAUGGCCUACCAAGGCGUCGACGGGUAGCCGGCCUGAGAGGGUGUACGGCCACAUU